AUGCGCAAAACCUGUUAAUUUAAAAGGUAUGGUGCAAUUGGAAGACAGCCAUUAAAUCUACCGUUACCGAUGGUGUUCCAUACAACCAAAUAGCUUUUACAGAUGUUGAAUCUACCAAAUAGUGGAAUGAAUUGGGUGAGCAGAAGUAUUCGGGGUUUUCCGAUGAUAAAGCAGAGGAAACUAAGCCUAUGAAUGAGCGCGGUAAAGAGCACGAAAAAGAUGGCUAAGGAAGGAAGUUAAAAAAUGAACACCCCCCAGAACUCAAAAAGUUAUUAAAGAAAUAAAAUAAGCUUGUAAGAUAUAUUUAAAAUAUCAAUAAAAUAAGAAAUUAUAAUUUAAAAUAAAUAAAUUAUGAACCAAU
This is a non-coding RNA of Drosophila melanogaster (fruit fly), 361 nucleotides long. Lineage: Eukaryota; Metazoa; Arthropoda; Insecta; Diptera; Drosophilidae. The record is from Ensembl.